Molecule: non-coding RNA, 754 nt
Organism: Pelobates cultripes (western spadefoot toad)
Lineage: Eukaryota; Metazoa; Chordata; Amphibia; Anura; Pelobatidae
Source: the annotation of a GenBank genome assembly
CUUCCGGCGUCGGAUGGAUCCAGGAGCGGCUCAGGAUGUCGGGGACGUCAGUGGGACCUGUAUAAGCGCCGGGAGGACAUCCUUCGCAGAGGACCAGGGCCAGGCCACCGGACCUCCUAAGCCCAAGUGCCAUGCUGGUGAGGCGGAGUAGAAGGAGCCCUGGAGCAGUGGACGCCGAUCGUGGCAAUGAGGCUGGAGGCAGAGCGCCAGGGUAAGCCACAGACUCCCAUCAUCCCAGUGGUAGCAAUGAGGGUUUGGUCAGUGCUGUUGCGGUCCUUCCAGGGGCCAGGAAAAACAUGCAGCGUCAGGCUGGCCAGGCAGAUUGCAGGGCAAUAGUGGGUGGCCCUAGGUGGAAGUACCACGGGGGUCGCUCUCAGGUGGCACGAUCACCCACGCCUAAGCAGGGCGGCCAGCUGGUAUGCACGUCUGAUGGUAGCAUGUCAGACGGUGAGAAUGAGCAGUGCAAGGGCGGUCCCUUGUAGGACAGCGCAGUGGAGGAGGGCGCACAGGGGAACGGCGUCACAGGGGAACAGUUGGUCUCUUCUACCAGGGUUCACAGUGCCUCCAGGUCAGCUAGCAGGAGCCCCAGCAAUAGGAGUACUCCUUGCGGCCGUUUCGGUCUGGACAAAGGACGCAGAGCUAGUAAAGGUGGCAAUCAGGAGCGAUCGAGGAUAGGAAAGGGAGGGAUAUCUGUGGAUGGUUUACCCAGAUGUUUCUUAUUUCAGUGCUCCUGCCUCAUCACCUGCGGUGCCUG